AGGACGAACGCUGGCGGCGUGCUUAACACAUGCAAGUCGAGCGGAAAGGCCCUUCGGGGUACUCGAGCGGCGAACGGGUGAGUAACACGUGAGUAAUCUGCCCCUAGCUCUGGGAUAGCUCCGGGAAAACCGGGAUUAAUACCAGAUACGACCACUUUAGACAUCUGCUGUGGUGGAAAGAAUUUCGGCUAGGGAUGAGCUCGCGGCCUAUCAGCUUGUGGUGAGGUAACGGCUCACCAAGGCGACGACGGGU
RNAcentral lists this ribosomal RNA (253 nucleotides) under uncultured bacterium. RNAcentral's name for it is "partial small subunit ribosomal RNA". It matches the Rfam family "Bacterial small subunit ribosomal RNA", at positions 26 to 284 of the family's 1533-position model. The record is from RNAcentral.